Molecule: long non-coding RNA, 905 nt
Organism: Dama dama (fallow deer)
Lineage: Eukaryota; Metazoa; Chordata; Mammalia; Artiodactyla; Cervidae
Exons: 3
Source: RefSeq, a predicted model, not a curated record
ACAGCCUUUUAUAUUAUAUAUAUUUUUCUUUUGUCAUUUUUACAACUUUUUUUGAUAUACAGAUAUUUUAAAGUUUUAUGUGUCAAAUCAGUCUGUUUCUCCUUUAUGGUUUCUUCCUUUGCUUUUAUGUUUAGAUAUUCUUCCCUACCCUACACACCACAAGUUAUAUUUUCUUCUGGUUCUUUUAUAGUUUAUGUUGUAAUUCAAAGUAAAUUGGGGAUAUGCAGAAAUGGGAAAGACUUCCUUGCACAUUUUCCUGGUUUGGAAACAUGCUUCUCAUUCACCCCUAGGAGGAUAACUUGGAUGAAUACAAGGAGCUGUCAACAGGGGUCGCAGGAGCCACAGGUUUGAUCCUUGGGUCAGGAAGACCUGCUGGAGGAGGGCCUGGCAACGCACUGCAGUAUUCUUGGCUGGAGAAUCCCAUGGACAGACGAGACUGGCGGGCUGCUGUCCUCAGGGUCUCAAAGAGGCGGACAUGACUGAAGUGACUUAGUCCACGGCACAGGAGUAAAUAGUUUGCUCAUAAGAAAGAAAAGGUGUAUCAGGACUCCACGCUGACCAGGCUGUGACUCCAGAGAGAAUAGAAUCUAGAGAAUAGAGUCAUUAUGUACAUGGUUCUGUGGUUACACUUCUAGAAUUAGAUCCAAGCUCUUCUAGUUACCUUGUGUGACCCAGGAGAAGUAAUCUAACCCCUCUGUGUCUGACUUUUCUCAUCAUUAAAAUGAGAGUAAUAAUGGUAACUACCUGCAGGGUUAGUUGUAAGGUUAAUUCAAACAGUGCUUGAUAUGUAAUAAGUGACAGUGAAUGCGAACUGUAAAUUUUAACGUUUGAAGAUGCACUAAGAAGGUUAAGAAUAUCCUGAAAGAUUACUAUUCUGCUGCCUGCCAUUCCAUCUGAGAGCUUAA